This 391-nucleotide unclassified non-coding RNA is filed under the name soil metagenome. RNAcentral describes it as "partial contains 5.8S ribosomal RNA, internal transcribed spacer 2, and large subunit ribosomal RNA". The stretch from base 1 to 122 matches the Rfam family "5.8S ribosomal RNA", at positions 35 to 154 of the family's 154-position model. The record is from RNAcentral.
GAUGAAGAACGUAGCGAAAUGCGAUACUUGGUGUGAAUUGCAGAAUCCCGUGAACCAUCGAGUCUUUGAACGCAAGAUGCGCCCGAAGCCAUUAGGCCGAGGGCACGCCUGCCUGGGCGUCACACGUCGUUGCCCCCCCAUCUACUCCUUCGGGAUUGCGGGGGGCGGAUGAUGGCCUCCCGUGCGCCUCGUCGCGCGGUUGGCAUAAAUGCCAAGUCCUCGGCGACGCACGCCACGACAAUCGGUGGUUGCGAAACCUCGGUUGCCCGUCGUGUGCGGUCGUCGCGCAUCGAGGGCUCGAAAAAAUUGCCGGGCUCCGGCUCGGCUUUCAACGCGACCCCAGGUCAGGCGGGGUUACCCGCUGAAUUUAAGCAUAUCAAUAAGCGGAGGA